UAGACAAGAGUUGCGUGAGGUGACACCUGAUUGUUACUCAGGGAGGGCAAAUAAUUUUUUGCUUGUUUAG
RNAcentral lists this transfer RNA (70 nucleotides) under Quasilineus sinicus. RNAcentral describes it as "tRNA-Asn". The record is from RNAcentral. Lineage: Eukaryota; Metazoa; Nemertea; Pilidiophora; Heteronemertea; Lineidae.